UAUUUUUUGAGUGAGGAAACUGAAGCUUGCUAUGAUUAUAUAACUCACUGUAAGCUCCAAGUGGCAGAGAUAGGUGCUUGGAUUCUGAUUCAUUAAUUGUUUGGCCACUGCCAUAUUUAUGAAUUUACAGGUGCUCUUUAACAGCACAUGUCAUCAAAAGUUUAGAUCACAAGGUUUCCUGCCUAUUAAAAUCUCAGGGUGAAUGUAUUUCCUUAAAUGGGUUUUCAUCACCUUCUAUUUCUGCCUUUUUCUUUUCUUUUUACACAGUUCCCAAAGGAUUUGACUGAUGUAGCUUUCAUUUUAAGCUACCAUUAUGAUCCAUCUGGGUUUUUGGUUUCGAGAGCCACCAUGUAACUUAACACGCAGCUUUUCCUCAGCCUUCAAAAUUAACUCUCAAAUGUCAUUUUAUCUUUAUAGAUAUGUUCCUGCUGGUAUCUUAAAGAGAAAGAAGAAUACUGGUUAAUUCAAAAAAGCAAAUAGCAAGGAAGCCGUAAGGUUGAAGAUAUAUUUCAAAACAGAAUCCUAGUUAUAACCGGACUUAGCUCUCUAUGAAAUUGGUUACCAGGCUUCAUUUCGGUUGCUGUCGCCUCUGGACCCCAUCGCCCCUGUUGAGAUCAAGAAUCCCAUUUCAAAGGAAACAUGCUUCAUCUUCUUGGCCUACCAAAUCAGAAAAAAAUCUUCAAAUUCAGAUGGAGCCACAAGGAUCCUUGAACAGCCAAAACAAUUUUGAGGAAGAAGAACAAAGCUGAAGGCCUCACUUCUCUGUUUUAAAAUAUAUUGCAAAGUAACAAUAAGUAAAACAAUAUGGUACUGGCAUAAAGACAGAAAUAUACACCAAUGGAACAGAAUAAAGAUCCCAGAGAUAAACACACACAGUUAACUGGUUUUCAAUAAGGGUACCAAGAAUAUAUAAUGAGGGAAAGAUGGUCUCUUUUACAAAUAGUGUUGGGAAAACUAGAUAUACACAUGCAAAAGAAUGAAAUUGGACCCUUGUCUCACACCAGAUGAGUCCUGUCCAAAAAAUCAACUCAAAAUGGAUAAAAGACUGAAACGUAAGACCUGAAACUGUAAAACUGUUAGAAGAAGACAUGGGAGAAAUCUCCUUGAUAUUGGUCUUGGCAAUAGUUUCCUAAAUAUGACACCAAAAGCACAGCCAAAAAAACAAAAACAGACAAGUGGAAUGACAUUAAACUAAAAAGCUCCUACACAGAGAAGGAAACAGUCAACUACGUGAAAAAGCAAUCUACAGAAUGGGAGAAAA
This 1261-nucleotide long non-coding RNA is filed under the name Papio anubis (olive baboon). Its description in RNAcentral is "lncRNA (ENSPANG00000042629.1)". Lineage: Eukaryota; Metazoa; Chordata; Mammalia; Primates; Cercopithecidae. The record is from RNAcentral.